RNAcentral lists this long non-coding RNA (429 nucleotides) under Mus musculus (house mouse). RNAcentral describes it as "predicted gene 9752, transcript variant 9 (Gm9752)". Lineage: Eukaryota; Metazoa; Chordata; Mammalia; Rodentia; Muridae. The record is from RNAcentral.
GGAAAGUACAGCACAGGGACACAAGGGACGCCUAAGUGACAGAACAUCUGCCAUAUCUGCAACGCCUGGGACUUAAAACAAAGACUACAGUAGAAGCCGGGUCUCCCAACCUGUCUAUGAGGUUCCUGGCCUGCUUGAGUUCCUGCCCUCACUGCCUUUGAAGAGGAACUGUGAUGUGGAACUCGCAGGCUGUCCUUGAACUCAAGAGAUCUGUCUUCGUCUGCCUUCCAAGUGCAGAAACUAAAGGUAUGCACCACUGUACCUGGCUCAAGAUGACUCAGCAGGUAGAAGCUGCCAAGCCUGAUGACCUGGCUCAAUUCCUGGGACCCACAGGGUGGAAGAAGAGGUUGUCCUCUGACCUCCACAUGCAUGCCGUAGCACACAUGUAUUGCCAGCCCCAGAAAAAAAUAAAUGCAAUUUUAAAAAAUA